UGGGGAGUAUUGCACAAUGGGGGGAACCCUGAUGCAGCAACGCCGCGUGAGUGAAGAAGUUAUUCGUAAUGUAAAACUCUAUCGCUUAAGAAUAAGAUGAAAGAAAAAGAGAAGAAGCCCCGGCUAACUACGUGCCAGCAGCCGCGGUAAUACGUAGGGGGCAAGCGUUAUCCGGAUUUACUGGGUGUAAAGGGAGCGUAGACGGAAUGGCAAGUUUGGAGUGAAAACCCUAUGCUUAACAUAGGAAUUGCUUUGAAAACUGUUAAUCUAGAGUAUUGGAGAGGUAAGUGGAAUUUCUAGUGUAGUAGUGAAAUGCGUAGAUAUUAGGAAGAACACCGGAGGCGAAGGCGACUUACUGGACAAAAACUGACGUUGAGGCUCGAAAGCGUGGGGAGCAAACAGG
RNAcentral lists this ribosomal RNA (403 nucleotides) under uncultured bacterium. RNAcentral describes it as "bacterial SSU rRNA". It matches the Rfam family "Bacterial small subunit ribosomal RNA", at positions 355 to 776 of the family's 1533-position model. The record is from RNAcentral.